This 664-nucleotide long non-coding RNA is filed under the name Salmo salar (Atlantic salmon). RNAcentral's name for it is "lncRNA (ENSSSAG00000099514.1)". Lineage: Eukaryota; Metazoa; Chordata; Actinopteri; Salmoniformes; Salmonidae. The record is from RNAcentral.
UAUAGAUACAGGUUCUAUAUGCCAUUACACCUCUUAUCGACCCCAUUCAACACUGUAGAUACAGGUUCUAUAUGCCAUUACACCUCUUACUGACCCCAUUCAACACCAUAGAUACAGGUUCUAUAUUCCAUUACACCUCUUACCGACCCCAUUCAACACUAUAGAUACAGGUUCUAUAUUCCAUUACACCUCUAACUGACCCCAUUCAACACUCUAGAUACAGGUUCUAUAUGCCAUUACACCUCUUACCGACCCCAUUCAACACUGUAGAUUGUCAUGAAUCCCGCUUCCUGAGUCUGUUUUCUGCCUGAGCUGAUUGUUUUUCUGUUUUGGAGUCUGUUUCCUGAGGUUCCUGAACGCACCCUGUCUGGUUGCCAGGCGACGAAGCUAGGCGGGAGAUCUCUCGAUUACCCGCACCUGCAGCUCAUCAGCUAUCUGCACACCUGGUCCUGAUCAUCACCUCUUCACUUUAUAAGCUCUGACCUGACAUCCAUUCCCUGCCGGAUCGUUAGCAAUGAACAUCAUUCUCCCGGAACAUUCAACCCCCCUGCCUGGUCGUCGGUGGCUUCUGUGACAUCAUUGGAUCUGCCUAUUCACUCUCAUCAACUCACCUCCGCUGCGUCUCCUGGAUUAUUCUGUUUUCACCUUGACUCUGUAAAUAAAU